UACGUAGGGGGCAAGCGUUAUCCGGAUUCACUGGGUGUAAAGGGAGCGCAGGCGGUACGGCGAGUCUGAUGUGAAAACCCGGGGCCCAACCCCGGGACCGCACCGGAUACUGCCGGACUCGAGUGCCGGAGGGGCAGGCGGAAUUCCCGGUGUAGCGGUGAAAUGCGCAGAUAUCAGGAGGAACACCGGUGGCGAAGGCGGCCUGCUGGACGGUAACUGACGCUGAGGCUCGAAAGCGUGGGGAGCGAACAGG
Molecule: ribosomal RNA, 253 nt
Filed under: uncultured bacterium
Lineage: Bacteria
Description: partial 16S ribosomal RNA
Rfam family: Bacterial small subunit ribosomal RNA
Source: RNAcentral